Molecule: long non-coding RNA, 326 nt
Organism: Setaria italica (foxtail millet)
Lineage: Eukaryota; Viridiplantae; Streptophyta; Magnoliopsida; Poales; Poaceae
Exons: 2
Source: RefSeq, a predicted model, not a curated record
CGGCAAGCGCCGCCGCCUCGUCGAGAAGGCCCGCGACCGGAUCCACGAGAUCCGCACGCACCUCCACGAGCGCGAGCAGCAGCAGGCGCCGCCCCCGGCGCAGCCCGAGCAAUCGAUCGUGUCCGGUCUCCGAUCGAACAGGCAAGCUGCUGUCAAUGAUGCAUGUUUGUUGCUACCACUUCUCUUUUCUGAACUUCACAUUGGGAGCUCCCACUGCAACUAGCUAGUUAAUUAGGCUAUGUAUGUAAUAUACUAGUGUCAGUGAUCUAGAGAGCAUCGAAAACUUGCUAACUAUUGAAUCAGAUUGGAAAUUAGUGGUAGAAAUA